UAUAUUUUAUUGUAAAAAGCAUAAAAAUUUUUGAAGUUUUUGGUAUUAGUUUAAGACUUUUAAAUAUAA
Molecule: transfer RNA, 69 nt
Filed under: Pelecinus polyturator
Lineage: Eukaryota; Metazoa; Arthropoda; Insecta; Hymenoptera; Pelecinidae
Description: tRNA-Gln
Source: RNAcentral